UUGACAUUUCCUUGGACCUUUUCCUUUCUUCCUAAGGGAGUGGAGUAAGAAAAGGGGGACAUAAGAACCAAUGUCUGUUAUUAAGGACUAUCAAGCACUUUGAGCCCUCGAGGUGGAGGUUGCAGUGAGCCAGGAUUGCACACUAUACUCCAGCCUGGGUGACAGAGUGAGACCCUGUCUCCAAAAAAUAAAAAAAAGGCAACAUCAGGAAGUUACCCAAUGUGGUCUAAAAGGGGGAGGAACCCUCAGUUCUGGGAGUUGUCCACCCCUUUCCGGGAAAACUCAUGAAUAGUCCAUCCCCUGUCCAGCAUAUAAUAAGGGGGUCUUCCUUCUUUGCUUGGCCCUUCUCCUUUCUGCCACCUUGUGAAGAGGAUACCUUGCUUCCCCUUUACCUUCCACUGUGAUUGUAAGUCAUGUACUCUGCCAGCCUGACCAACAUGGGGAAACCCCGUCUCUACUAAAAAUUAAAAAAAAAAAUUAACUGGGCAUGGCGGCACGUGCCUGUAGUCCCAGCUACUUGGGAGGCUGAGGCAGGAAAAUUGCUUGAAACCGGGAGGCAGAGGUGGCAGUGAGCCAAGAUCGCACCACUGCACUCCAGCCUGGGUGACAGAGCGAGACUCCGUCUCAACAACAACAGCAACAAAAGAAUGUUCUUCAUAUGAGUGGGUCUCAUACAAUCAACUGAAGGCCUGGAUAGAACAUGAAAGGGGAAUAAGAAAGAUCACCUCCCUCUGCCUGACUCCGAGUUGCCACAUUGGUCUUCUGCCUUUGGACUCAGGCUCAGACUGGAACUUAUAUCGUUAGCUUGUCUGGUUCUCUGGCAUUUGGACUCAGACUAAAAUUAUACCAUUGGCUUUCCUGGGUCCAGAGAGAUCGAUCCAUUAAUAUAUAAGUAUAUAGGAUACUAUUACUAAUAGGAUAUAUAUUUUACAUAUAUACACACACAUAUAUAUAUAGUAUGUAUAUCUAUUAGUAUAUAGAAUACUAUUACUAAUGGAUAAAAAUUAGAAAUAAAAGAUAUAUUUUUAUAUAUUUAUGGAUAUAUAUUAUAAUGGAUCCAUUACAAUAUUUAUAAUAUAUACCCAAUAGUAAUAGUAUUCUAUAUACUAAUGGAUAUACAUAUAUAAUAUAUAUCCAUUAUUUAAUAGAUACAACAUAACUCUGCAUUUAGGAAGGUUCCAUAUAUCUAUAUCUACAUGUAGAUAUACUACAUAUACACUAUAUAUACAUAUAUGGUAUUCUAUAUACUAAUGGAUAUCCAUAUAUAAUAUAUAAUGGGUAUAUAUUCUUUCUAUAUUCAUAUAUGCUAUAUAAUGGAUAUAUAUUCAUUACUAUAUAGAUUAUACUAUCUAUUAUAUACUAUAUACUAUAUAUGAUAUACAUACAUAUAAAAAACGGAAAUACAUAUCUGUAAUAUAUAUAUAUAUAAUGGAAAUAUAUAUCCAUAAUACAUAUAUAAUGAAUAUAUAUUCUAUAGUAUUCUAGAUACUAUUGCUAAUAUGAUAUAUAUAUUUUAUAUAUAUCCAUUAGUAUAUAGAAUAUGAUUACUAAUAGUACAUAAGUAUAGAAAACUAUUAGUAUAUAGAAUAAUAUUACUAUUGGGACAUAUAUAUGUAAUAGUAGUUCUAUUUUUCUGGACAACAGAGAGAGAGAGAAAGAGAGAGAGAGAGAGAGAGAAUGGGAUAAAUGAAGAGGGAGCAGCGGGAGACACUCCCCCACUGUUUCAGUCAGUGAGCGCGUGUCCUAGGUGGAAAAUGAGACUCUGCAGUUCUGUCUGUGGGUAUGAGUGGCUGCUGCCUCGAGAGGCCAAGCCCCUCACCUCACCACGAAUCCUUCUAGGUCCAUUGCUUUCUCACAACCUGGAUCCUGGAAUCAAUGUAACGGCUUCACUGGGGGUUCAACUAAAGAAGGGAUAACCUAGGGUCAUUUUGACUCUAUGUGACUUUCAUUUCAUCUGCAUCAUUUAAGAAUAUUGUCUUUGUGUGUAAUGUGGUUCCACUAUGUGUUUUUGUACAUGGGUGUGCAUGUGUGUGUAUAACAGGAAGUAAUGGGUACAUAUGUGACUCACUGGAAUUUUUUGCCUUGACACCAAAAGCAAUGUCGUUUCCUCAGUUUCCUGAGUUUACUUACAAGCAGGUUAUAUGAGUGACAACUUUUCUAAGAUAGCUCUAAAUUAUGUUUGU
This 2183-nucleotide long non-coding RNA is filed under the name Homo sapiens (human). Its description in RNAcentral is "non-protein coding lnc-LPIN1-10:4". Lineage: Eukaryota; Metazoa; Chordata; Mammalia; Primates; Hominidae. The record is from RNAcentral.